GCCAGACUUUGACAAGCAACGUUUGAUCUACCCUGCCCGACACCAGGAGAGGAUCGUUCAAGGGCGGUUCAAGGCAUCGAAGGGGAAGUCGUCCAUUAUCCUAGGAAAAGACUCUCUCCAACGUUGCCUUCUCGGACUCAACUCGGGCCCUGCCAAUUGGCCGGGCACCAGCCGUUUGGUGGAGGCAAUUUGCAGUCAGCUCUGCCAAAUCCAUCCCAGCGCCACGCAGUCUGCCGGCGUCAAAAAGAGCAGGUGGGCGCUCAUUCUGGCAGACUACGUGGCCAUCCGGGAGGCAGUGCUGAACAGCCCGAGGUUGAUGGCCCAGACCAACCUUCAGCUCUUUGAGCUGAAUCAAAGGACCAUCAGUCAGUGGUACUCUCGGCGUCAGAAGGAGAGGGAGAGGAUGGUGCUGCAGCAGGGAUUGGGGCUCGCUGUUGCCCCCAGCGUCACCGCCCAGCCCCUCCCUGAAGCCAAGCCCCUCCACUACCAGCGGGAGGGAAUCCAGGCACCCUUCCCUUUCCCUACGCCGCCCCCCCCCCCCCGGUCCCACGCCAGACCACCCAGCAAGGAGAGCCCGCCCAAGCGCCCAUUCAGCCAGCCCACCUGGAGCAACAACCCCCCGCACUUCCCGGCCCCUCCCAAGCCCAAGGACAACAUACGGGCUGCUCUUCACCUCCUCCAGUGCCAAGGACAACGGCUUGGAGGAGGAAGAGGAUUGCGGACGACACAGAGUAGGUGACGGCCGGGAAGAGAAGGCAACGUGAGCAUUACGUCUGCGCCAAAUGCGGGUUGCCGAAGCGGCGGGAGACGGGCCACAGCCGCUUCGGCGGCAUAGCGUUCUGCUCUGUGGCUGCGGGGGUAAGACCGUGGCCCAGUGGCUGGCGGAAAUGAAGGACGCUGAGGGGCGAGGUGAAGGACACUGAGCCACUGGCUGGGUGGUUGGACGUUUUUUUUUGUAAAUAGUUCACUGUUCCCCUCUACCUGGACCGAGACCUUGAGCGCGGUGUAGAGGCUUGUGUGUUAUGAUGACCCUCAGAACUGCCUGUAGUCUAUAAGACUACUGGUAGGGUCACCCAUGGUAGGCAGUUCUGAGGCGAGACACCAGACUAACAUCGGUCCGUUCCCAAGCAAAAUGCAUGUUUUAAUUAGCACAUUAACAUUUUAUUUACAUAGUUCAAUUAAAGGACUGUAUAGCAAAGACAGACAGACAGGAUAGUGAUGAACCUGUAAAAAAACAAGGAUAGACAUUAAAAUAUACAAAUCAAACAUGAUUUAUCAAUACAUUUUCAAGUGAAAACUCAACUUUUUGGUAGAACUAAUGUUUUUUUUUCUACAGCAGUAGCUAUAACACAUGAAUAGCUUACCUUUUGCUAGUAUAGACAUUUCUGUCCACAGGUCGGGCCAAGAUGCACUAGCGCCAAUGUUAUACAUACACAUGACUGUUAAAAGAAAUAGAUAGAGCCUGUAUGAAUGCACACACAAUAUAAUAUAUAUAUAUAUAUAUAACACGUCUAGUCAACCGACUUGUUUGACUACAGGGGCUACCCAAACUGUGUAAUUUAAUAACUUUCGUAGAUCGCUAGCUACUGUAGGCGUACAACAUUCAAAGUUUAUUUGACCACUGACAAUCCUGUAAAUCCUUAGCUAACAUCUAUAUCAACUCAAAGUUAGAAUUCUAUACUAUUUAAUUGUCUUCUCUUUCGUUUUUUGAUGGCAUGCGUUUGAAGUGUAUGUAGUUGAAUGCAUUGUAUGAUAUGUGGCAACCUGAUGGUCAUUGGGGCAAACGUGUCUUUCUAUGUAAACUGAAUUUAACUGCAAAUGAAAUAAUAAUCACCAUAACCCCCAAACCCCCCACUGCUGUCCUCCUAGCAGACCUAUCAAGCAAACGAGUUGGUUCUCAAGGCCACACCCAAGGCAGUAAAAGUGACAGCUGACGGCCCCCCUGCUUUUGGUGCUCAGGGCCCUCUUGUGAGGGCUAAGAAGUGGAAGGAAGUGGAGGCAGAGGCUCGAGCCUGCGUCGUCUCCGAGGGAGGUGACCCCGGUGCAGAGACGGUCAUCCUGAGCCGGUGCACGGUUCAGUUCGGCAAGUACUGGGGUCAGACCUUCAAGUGGAUGAUGGAGAACGACGUGGGCUACAUGGUGCACGUGGUAACAGUGCAUCAGAAGGAGACGGAGCGAGAGCGCAGUGUUUCCCAGCAUCCCCUGAUGAGCCAACAAGGAUGCCUUGACUUGCUACUCGUGCGCCUAUCCGGCCUUCGCUGAGAUGGUCAGGUUCAACCGGA
Molecule: long non-coding RNA, 2282 nt
Filed under: Salmo salar (Atlantic salmon)
Lineage: Eukaryota; Metazoa; Chordata; Actinopteri; Salmoniformes; Salmonidae
Description: lncRNA (ENSSSAG00000114362.1)
Source: RNAcentral